GGUCGUCAGACUUGACGCAAAGCUCCAACAGCAGGAGUAAACCCUGAAAGACCAUACAGAAGCAAAAGGGUCAAGGUACAAGGAGAAGAUGCAGGCAGCUGCAACAACGGAUGAAAACAGACCCAAAGAGGAGGGGAGGACCCUAGGCCAUGCGUCAGGCCGCUGGUUUACCUAAACUACAGAACAGGAAGAGCGCCACGUCAUUGUGAUGGAGAUUUAAUAAAGGAGGAACACACGGACAAAGAAGAAGAGAAGGGGGGGCAGCCCUUGAACGCGAUUGCCUGAGGCAUUAAAGUUCUGUACUAAAUUCUGGUUCCCAGUGUGAGAAAAGUCACGCAGUGCCAGUAGUAGAGCUAGGUUGAGUGAUGAUUCUAAAUUACUGUAAGUAAAUCAUCGUACACCGUUCAAGUUUCAUGAUAACGGGGAUCUAGACUUUGUUGAACCCUAGGCAAUUUGAACAGGUAAAAGUCGAGUGACCAAGUAGCAG
Long non-coding RNA from Astatotilapia calliptera (eastern happy), 487 nucleotides. The record is from Ensembl. NCBI's taxonomy places the organism in Eukaryota, Metazoa, Chordata, Actinopteri, Cichliformes, Cichlidae.